RNAcentral lists this ribosomal RNA (253 nucleotides) under uncultured bacterium. Its description in RNAcentral is "partial 16S ribosomal RNA". It matches the Rfam family "Bacterial small subunit ribosomal RNA", at positions 524 to 776 of the family's 1533-position model. The record is from RNAcentral.
UACGAAGGGGGCUAGCGUUGUUCGGAAUCACUGGGCGUAAAGGGCGCGUAGGCGGCCGAUCAAGUCGGGGGUGAAAGCCUGUGGCUCAACCACAGAAUUGCCUUCGAUACUGUUUGGCUUGAGACCGGAAGAGGUUAGUGGAACUGCGAGUGUAGAGGUGAAAUUCGUAGAUAUUAGGAAGAACACCAGUGGCGAAGGCGGCUCACUGGCCCGGUACUGACGCUGAGGCGCGAAAGCGUGGGGAGCAAACAGG